RNAcentral lists this ribosomal RNA (492 nucleotides) under uncultured bacterium. Its description in RNAcentral is "partial 16S ribosomal RNA". It matches the Rfam family "Bacterial small subunit ribosomal RNA", at positions 1 to 507 of the family's 1533-position model. The record is from RNAcentral.
CCUGCCCACUGCCUGUGAUCGUAGCCCCUCCCCGUCGCGCGUGACCGGAGUUAGUGCUGGCUCUUACUCGUUGCGUUUGCCGGACGGGUCAGGAACCCCUCACCGUCUACUUUUUCGCAGGCGCUGCCUCCGGGGGACUCGCGCUUAUACCCGAUACGACCUACGCGUGGAAGCCAAUGAUGUUCAGGCUUGGCUCCAGUGACUUGGUCGAUGUCGGAUUAGCUAGUUGGCGGGGUAACGGCCCACCAAGGCGCCGAUCCGUAGCUGGUCUGAGAGGAUGAUCAGCCACACUGGAACUGAGACACGGUCCAGACUCCUACGGGAGGCAGCAGUGGGGAAUAUUGGACAAUGGGCGCAAGCCUGAUCCAGCCAUACCGCGUGGGUGAAGAAGGCCUUCGGGUUGUAAAGCCCUUUUGUUGGGAAAGAAAAGCAGCAGGUUAAUACCCCGCUGUUCUGACGGUACCCAAAGUGUAAGCACCGGCUAACUUCGUG